AUUGAACGCUGGCGGCAUGCCUUACACAUGCCAGUCGAACGGCGGCACGGGUGCUUGCCCCUGGUGGCGAGUGGCGAACGGGUGAGUAAUACAUCGGAACAUGUCCUGUAGUGGGGGAUAGCCCGGCGAAAGCCGGAUUAAUACCGCAUACGAUCUACGGAUGAAAGCGGGGGACCUUCGGGCCUCGCGCUAUAGGGUUGGCCGAUGGCUGAUUAGCUAGUUGGUGGGGUAAAGGCCUACCAAGGCGACGAUCAGUAGCUGGUCUGAGAGGACGACCAGCCACACUGGGACUGAGACACGGCCCAGACUCCUACGGGAGGCAGCAGUGGGGAAUUUUGGACAAUGGGCGAAAGCCUGAUCCAGCAAUGCCGCGUGUGUGAAGAAGGCCUUCGGGUUGUAAAGCACUUUUGUCCGGAAAGAAAUCCUUGGCCCUAAUACGGUCGGGGGAUGACGGUACCGGAAGAAUAAGCACCGGCUAACUACGUG
This 486-nucleotide ribosomal RNA is filed under the name uncultured bacterium. Its description in RNAcentral is "partial 16S ribosomal RNA". It matches the Rfam family "Bacterial small subunit ribosomal RNA", at positions 30 to 507 of the family's 1533-position model. The record is from RNAcentral.